This 466-nucleotide long non-coding RNA is filed under the name Vitis vinifera (wine grape). RNAcentral describes it as "long non-coding RNA (VVIN_LNC004665)". The record is from RNAcentral. Lineage: Eukaryota; Viridiplantae; Streptophyta; Magnoliopsida; Vitales; Vitaceae.
AGUCGUCGAGUUGCGGCUCCCCGGGAUGGGUCUUUCCGGCCAACUCCCCGCCGGCUCCAUCGGAAACCUCACCGAACUUCACACCCUCUCUCUCCGCUUCAACGCCCUCUCCGGCUCGGUACCCCCGGACUUGGCCUCAUGCGUCAACCUCCGAAACCUCUACUUGCAGGGAAACUUUUUCUCCGGUGACAUUCCGGAGUUUUUGUUCACUCUCAGUAACCUUAUUCGCCUUAACCUCGCCGGAAACAACUUCUCCGGCGAGAUCUCUUCGGACUUUAAUAAGCUCACCCGGUUGGGCACUCUGUAUUUGAACGACAACCACCUCACCGGCUCGAUCCCAAAGCUGAAUUUGAAUCUUCAACAGUUCAAUGUUUCCAACAAUCAGUUGGACGGCUCGAUCCCCUCCAAGCUCUCGAAUUUUCCGGCGACGGCCUUCCAAGGCAACUCGCUCUGUGGAGGACCCCUU